CUGGUAUGAAGGUUUAACAAAAAAAAUCUUUAUGGGGCUAUAUAAAUAAUUUAAAUUAUAAGUAAGAAUGCUUUUUUAAGUUAAAAAGACGAUAAGACCCCUGAAGCUUAAAUUAAUGUAUAGGUUUAUAAAAAAGAUAUUUUAGACCUAUUUUUAUUAAUAUUGGCUGGGGUAGUUUAUUUUUAUAAAAUUAAGUUUAGUUAAUAGUUCAAUAGGAAGAUUAUAGAUCCUUUAAAUAAGGAUAAGUAGAAAAAGUUACUCCGGGGAUAACAGCGCUAUAAUUUUGGAGAGAUCCUAUCUAUAGAAUUGAUUGCGACCUCGAUGUUGAAUUAAAAAAUCUUUGCGGGGUAGAAUAUGCAGAAGAGGGUUUGUUCAACCUUUAAAUUUUUACAUGAUUU
RNAcentral lists this ribosomal RNA (398 nucleotides) under Bathyceradocus hawkingi. RNAcentral describes it as "partial 16S ribosomal RNA". The stretch from base 266 to 398 matches the Rfam family "Bacterial large subunit ribosomal RNA", at positions 2473 to 2606 of the family's 2925-position model. The record is from RNAcentral. Lineage: Eukaryota; Metazoa; Arthropoda; Malacostraca; Amphipoda; Maeridae.